Molecule: long non-coding RNA, 33678 nt
Filed under: Marmota monax (woodchuck)
Lineage: Eukaryota; Metazoa; Chordata; Mammalia; Rodentia; Sciuridae
Source: RNAcentral
GGAGGAGAAGGAGGAGGAGGAGGAGGAGAAGGAGAAGAAGAAGGAGAAGAAGAGGAAGAAGAAGGAGGAGAAGAAGAGGAAGAAGAAGAAGAAAAGACUCAGUAGGAGGUACAGAGGCUGCAGGAAUCUGUUGUCUCAGUAUGCAGGUCAGUGUCUUGGAUUCAGAAUGAUAAAGUGCUAAGUUGCCAUGUGAUAUGCUUCCUCAUGACAGCUGAGAUCUGAUCUAGUCACUGAAGCAAAAGUGGAGCUUAACCGGUGAUGCUAAUGGAUAACAGUCAUCACAGUACCUGGUAGUCAGGUGCUCAAGAAGCCCACUAAGGUGCUUCCCAUGGGUCAGGUUCUUUGUUGUCUCUGGGGUGCAAAGAUAAGUAAGACCUGGUUCCUGUGCUUUUUGAGCUCUAAUGCAAGUAAUUGAAUGAAACUGUACAACACAGAGAACUUGCUCUGCAUAGACUGGGCAAAUUCUAGAACCUCUAGAAUCCAUCCAGGGGGAAGCCUGUCUGUGUACAGCAUUAGCUAUCACAUAACCAGGAAUUUUUGAAACUUUGUAGGGCUGUAUAUGUAACCUUCUUUAAUAAUACUCUGUACAAAAGCAAAACUCAAAAGUAGAAGAUAGGCUCAUAAAGCAACCAACUUGUUAAUCACUUGGAAAUUCUUCCAGUUUACAAGGUUAUUCUGGGUACUAGUUGCACCAAUAUCUACCCCAAGGAAAUUUCAUUCAGAAGAGCUGAAUGCAAGUUCCAGCGUUGUCACUUACAAGCUGUGUGAUAUUAGCUAAGAUCAUUUGACUUGUCUGACUCAUAUUUUUUAAUCUGUAAAGUGGAAAAGAAUAAUAUUCAGGCCACAGGUUUGUUAUCAGAAAAUGAAUACAUUAAUAUCCAUUAAAGUCCUCUUUGAAGACUUGUAAAUAUUUACUCCUGUUACUUCUCAUACUUUUAUUUCCAUUCAUUUUUGAUAAAGUUUGCAUGGUGUGAAUUUUAGAUUUUAAAUAUCUUGCUUUAUAGUUGGACCUUUAUAAAUGUUCCUUUUUUAAUUUUUUAUUGUUGGCUGUUCAAAACAUUACAUAGUUCUUGAUAUAUCAUAUUUCACACUUUGAUUCAAGUGGGUUAUGAGCUCCCAUUUUUACCCCAUAUACAGAUUGCAGAAUCACAUCAGUUACACAUCCAUUGAUUUACAUAUUGCCAUACUAGUGUCUGUUGUGUUCUGCUGCCUUUCCUAUCCUCUACUAUCCCCCUCCCCUCCCCUCCCCUCCCCUCUUCUCUCUCUGCUCCCUCUACUGACAUUCGUUUGUCCCCCUUAUAUUAUUUUUCCCCUUCCCCUCCNCCUUAGAUUAGCCCCAAGGGCUUAUAUCAUUAGCACACUUAGCUGGAAAUGUCUCAACUCUGUAUUCCCAGAGCCCUUUAGACGAAUCCUUUUUUACAAAAUCAAGAGUCCACUUCAGGGCCUUUGCCCUUGUCACUCUCUCUGCCUGGAACAUUAUUAGCCCCACAACCUGCUUGGCUUAUUUGUCCACUCUAGGGUAUGUCUUCUCAAAUGUCCCUUGUCAGACAGAUCUAACUAGACCCUUCCUGGUCACACUGUACAAAAUGGCCAUGUCAACUUCUUCAUUUUGUAUCCAUUGUCUUACCACCAAACUUAUUUAAUACUUAUGCAUUUAUUUUGUGUGUUUGUUUGCUUUUGGGUUUUGCAUUGCUAGGGUCAAACCUAGGGCCUUACAUAUGGUAGGCCAGUUCUCUUCCACUGUGCUGUAUCCUUAUUUAGGGUCUGUUUAUUGAUGGUUUCCUUGAUCCAGGUAAAAGUUCAAUAAGAACAAGAAUUUUCUUUUUUUUUCUUUUUUUUUUUUUUGCUAUUUAUCCAAAAUCUAGAGUGACACAUAGCACAUUAGAGAUGCUCAAUACACAUUUGUUAAAUGAAUGGAGAUUGAAGAGUAUGUUUCUUCAAUCACCAUAUCAACAUCGGUUAUAUAAGGAGUCUUACCUCAUUUCUAAAACAAUGAAGUUUUGGAGGGCAAGAAUAGUGCCUGAGUCAAUUUUACACCUCUCUAAGCCCUAAGAUAGUACUUGAAAUUUGUUUGGUGAUUGGAAACUUACAGGGAUUUAUUUAAAUGUCUCAUUUGUGACUUGACAACUCUUUAAAAUACAUUGAUGUUAUUACUCCUGUUUGACUUAGUUAGGGCUGCUAUAGCAAUAACAUAGAUUGGAUGGAUUAAAUAACAGGUAUUUGUUUCUCACAGUUCCAGAGGAUGAGAAAUCCAAGAUUAAGAUCAAGGUGUCAGAUAAUUCAUUCCUGAUGAGGGCCACUUCCUGGAUAGGUGAUGAAUCCCUUCUUGACACAUGCUCUGUAACAUGGAGGAGAGAGAGGGAGAGAGAGAGAGAGAGAGAGAGAGAGUGCAAGUGAGAGCAUACUCAGGUCUCUCCUCCUCCUCUCCUCAGGCACUCAUCCCCUUAUGCAGACCCCACCUUCAUGACCUCAUCUAACAACAAUAGCUUCCCAAAAGCCCUACCUCCAAACACCAUCACAGGUCAGGUAAGCUUUCAAUAUAUGAAUUUUUGAGAGAAACAAUCACUCAGUCCAUCACACCAUCACACAGAUGAUGGGGAAAAAAAAACUCAGAGAAAUUUAUUUAUUUUUUUCAAGGCCUGAAAUCCUGGAUAUGUCAACCUCAAGCCCAGAGCCUUGCACAAGUCCAUGAGUCUCUGCUAAGGACCUUUGUUCUCCCUGUGCUAAAUCCCAACUGCUGACUUGGGAUGGAGUGACCCAGCACACUGGAGCAGCACUCCCUAUGGAGGUGUGGAGGGGGUAGGACCGUCAGGUACAGGAAAGGCUCUUUGCACUGUCAAUAGGAAGGCAGACUUCUAUUUUCAUGUUUGUUUUUAAAAAGAUCUUAUUUUUAAAUGAAGCAUUGUUUUGAAAGUUUAUUUUGUACUAAAAAUUGUGUCUUCAAACUUACCUCUUCUCCUUUUAAGUUGAAGAGAGAGAGGACUUUGGAGAUAGAAAAACCCAAAUAGAACAUAUUGCUACUAGAGUGAGUGAAAUAGCAUUUUCAAACCCUGGACAAGCUGUCUCUCUUUUUUAACUCACAAGGGAGCCUAGUUCUUAGUAUGGGCAUUGAAAAUCCAUUGUGUGUCCUCCCGUGUGGGCUUUUAGUUGCAGCAGGAAAGGUCAUGGUAGGAUUCUAUUCUCCUAAAGAAGUGAAAAAUAUAGAAACCUCUGAAGACUUACAGCCUCAGUCAUUCAUUCUUUUCUCCUGAGUUAAAAAUAGAAUAGAGUCUCUCUCUCUCUCUCUCUCUCUCUCUCUCUCUCUCUCUCUCUCUCUCUCACACACACACACACACACACACACACACACACAGAGAGAGAGAGAGAGAGAGGAGACAGAGAGAGACAGAGAGAGACAGAGAGACAGAGAGAGAGGGAGUUUUUGGAAAAGUCCUAAAGGCCACACAGUUUUUUUCUGAAUUUGGUGAGUUCUUUAAUCUCCAAAUAUUUCUGUGACUUUUCAUUAAGCCCAAGGACUCCUAGAUUCUUCAUAUGAAGUCCACCCAGAUUCCAAAUGUAAUGAGAUUUGUCCACCAUGGAUCUCUGCAUCUAUUUUCAACAGCAAUGUCUUACUUAAUUUCAAGACAGAAUGUGUCACCAUAAUGUGUCAUUGCAGCAAUUUCUAAAUCUCCAUGGGUAGAAAGCUAGAUCUCAAUCCAGAGAAUGCCUGGUGUUUGGUUUCUUAAGCUGUGUUGUAGAGAGAAGGAGGAACUGCAGGCUAAUGCAAACUCUAAGCUGCAUGUCUCUCAAUGCAUGGUCAUGCUACAUCAUUUGUAGUCCCAUUUUCUAUUCUACCCUACCCUGCACCCAAACAAAACAAAUCAAAAUAAAAACACAUCUCAAAACCUUCUUUAGUUGAUGAAAAUAACAAGUACUAAAUGUGGAGCAUUCUUGCAAUUCUCAUGAUAAUCAACUUUUCCCUGGUACCCAUGGUACAUGAAAAUUUUGCACCUACCUUGAAAUGAAGAAAGUUCAGAGGAGUUUCCUCAGAAGUCCUGGUACUAAUGGUCCCAAUGAUCCUGUCAGCCUUGGCCCUCUUUCUUGGGAAUGAAUUUAUCUUUCAAAGUUGACUAGGGAAGAGGGAAAGAAAUGCUGGAUAGAAACAACUAAGAUGGUCAUUACAGCUUGUACAUCUACAGUAUGGAUUUGGACAGAGAAUGCUAAGGACCAUUUAAGCUCUAAUAUUCUCUGAUGAUCUCAUUCUGCCCAUAUAUAAUCCAGCAUUCUCCCAGAUCCAAUUGUGUUUUCUUUCUUCAAAGAAAUGCAAACUACACAGAAUAGACCACUUAAUAUGAUUAUCCUGUGAGCAAAAUAAAAUGAUUUGUUUGAGAUUCAAAAAUCAAUGUUCACAGCAAAUUAGUGCUAGAACAAAAAUUCAGUUAUUUUCUUCUCUGGGCCUCUUAUUCUGGACUAAGUCACACAGUGCAGUACACACAGAGUUAGCUGUUCAUUCUACUUCUAACUGGCCUCAGAAAUUGCCCAGGUCAUUUGAACAUUGAUGAGAAUAUAGGUAUAUUGCAUUUCCACCAAAUACGAAGAAUUUAUUUUCCUAUUCUUGGAAGAUAAAUGUUUUCAAACAUUAAAAUUCCCUAAAGCAACUUGUUACUUAAAUAUCCUGGGCUGGGGGUGUGGCUCAGUGGGAAAAUACUUGCCUAGCUCAUGUGAGGUAUUGGGUUCGAUUCUCAACACCACAUAAAAAGUUCAUAAAUAAAUAAAAUAAAGGCAUUGUGUACAUCUACAACCAAAAACAAUUUUAAAAAAUCUGGAUAAUGACAAAUGAUCCUUCUCUUUAGCAGAGAGUUACUUUCCUAGCUGUUUUGUUUGCCAAGUCUAAAUUUUCCUAAAUGGGAUUCACUUAAAGCAAAGUAAACUGUGAGUAACUAGAGACCAUUAAACUCAGGAGAGUGCAAAUAUUCCUGUCAUAUGUAUUGGGCACCCACAGCAGCAGUGCCAUGAAGGCAUCUCACUAGCAUUGAGUUUAGAGGCUAGAAAUCCUGCCAAUACAUAACAUUACUGUCCUCCAAAUACCUAUUUAUUGCACUUGUAUAUCUAUAGUUAUUUCCACAGAGCUAUUAUGAAUGAACUAAGCAAAUUUAAUAUGAAUAUUUAAAAAUUUUAUUUUUCAUUGGCAAACAAUUGUAUAGAUUUAUGCAGUUCAAUGUGAUGUUAUCCUACAACGUGGAAUAAUCAAAUUGGACUAGUCAGUGAAUCUAUCACCUCACACACUUAAUAUUAAGUUGUGGUAGGAACAUUUAAAAUCCACUUUUUUAGCAAUUUUGAAAUAUGUAGUACAUUACUAAUUAUAUUCACCACACUGUGCCAUAGAGCUUUAGAACUUAAUCAGCCUGUCCUACUGAACUUUUUUUUUCCCCACUUACCUCCCAUUCCAGCCUCAUAAAGCACCAUUCCACUCUCCACUUCUAUGAGUUGGACAUGUUUAGAUAUUCCAAGUAACUAAGGGCGUGUGGCAUUUGCCUGUCUGUGCCUGGCUAUUUUCACAUAGCAUCAUGUCCUUUAGAUGCAUUCAUGUUGUCACGAGUGACAGGAUUUCCUUCUUUUUUUAGGGUUAAAUAAUAGAACACCCCAUUGUGUAUAUAGAGCACUUUUGUUUAUGCAGUCUAUUCAUCGCUUGGUGGAUACUUAGGCUGAUUCUAUUUCUUGGCUAUUGUGAGUUGUGCAAUAGACAUGAAAAUUAUAGGUAUUUCUCUGACACAGUGAUUUCAUUUCCUUUGAAUAUAUGUCCAGAAGUAGGACUGCUGGAUCUUAUGGAAGUUCUACUUUUCACUUCUUGAGGAAACUCUGUGUUGUUUUCCACAAAGGCAGUACUAACUUAUGCACCCAACAACAAUGUGCAGAGUUCCCUUUCUGCAAAUCCUCACUAGCACAUAGCCUUCAGGUUUUAAGGCUUCAGAAUAACCAUUCUUGAAUUUAAGUAGAAAUAAAGCUAGAAAAUGGUCACUCAAUAAAAGGAUGGUUGCCAAAAAAAAGGGAUUUAGGCACAUGCUCAAAAUAUUUUCCAAAAUCAACGAAGAAGCUUUUCUCUCUUCUCCACAUUCACUCUGCAGCUCAAAGCCCUUAUUUAACUAAGCAUGGAUUGGCUGAAAUAAGCUGCUUUUAGUAACAAAAUAACAUUUGGGCGGGAUCACAUAAGAGCCAUCCUAUAAUGGCAUUAAAUCUGUUAAAAUUUUAGCCUCCAAAAUUUUUGGUGAAACACUGUGAGGAAGUUUUCCCAAUUAUACAAUCGUAGGCACAGUGGGUGGUAUAAGAUGGGCAUCAGCAGGACUUUUCACAGUAUCUGAUGUGGGGCUUUCAGAGCCAAUGCAAAACUGUGGUAAUCCCUGACAUUUCCUAAUUGCACUGCUAAGAAUUUGAACAUUUUAUACAUUUCCCUUUGUCUUUGAAGGGCUCUAGCCAUUUACUUACCCUGAGCAACUUCAAUCUCAUAUAAACCCUUGUCAUCUCUUCUUAUUCUCCCUGCUGAUAUUUAUCACUCAGUUUAUAUCCUCCUUAAGUCUACUUUUUUCCUAAUUUCAUAAAUCAUUAUGUUUUCACUUGCAUGGCUUGCUUUAAUUGUUCCUUUCCUCCAUUCCCACUGUUGGGUAUAAAUUACACUGGUUAGAGAAAAAAAAAAUGUGUGCACAGUAUUCAAUUACUAUCUAUCUACAAAAACACUGUGAAGUAUCCAGAGUUGAAUCAUACUCAGUCACAACCCUCAUGUAGUUACCAUUAAUAGGAAAGAUAAAAUAUAAAUACAUAUUAUAAGGAAAGGGAGGGGGAAAAAGUGUUCCACAUCAGUGGCAAAUUCCAAAGAAAAUGACAUUUGUGCCUCUUGGGGAUAUAGGACAAGUCUCGUGGAAGUCAUUUUUUUUUUUUGCAUUAAGCCUUAAAGUGUUAUUUUUAAAAUUUUUUUUGUGAGAAGCAAUGUAUUUUAUUUUUCUGACAUCACAGCCCCAGCAAGUGCUUUUGUACCAAAUUUAACAGCAGAUGUAAUUACAUAGAAUGUUUUCAGGAUUCAAGGAGGAAGAAAAGGAAGUAACCACAAAAUUAAAACAAAAAACAAAAAUCCUGGAUAACUUUUAGCAUCUGUUCCACUCCCACAUUAAUAGGAUUCACCUGGGAAUUUCAAAUAAAAGGCAGACAGUAAACACAAGGGGCGGGGAAGGGUAUGUGGGUGAAGAAAAAGACAAAAGGAAGAGAAAAACCUGUCUCCCCAAACCAGGAGGGCAGCUGCAUGCAGGGAAAUGGAAGCUGAGGCCCUGUACCAUUUGGCUCCCCAAAAUAACCCUGUGGAGAUCAUCACCCAGUGGAAAAGGAGAGGAGGGAAACAGGAAUGAGCAGGAUGGGGGCAAAGAAAAGGAAAUAGGCUUAGAAAAGAUGGGGAUGGAUACAGAAAUACAUCAGGAACAUGAAGAUGGGUUGGUAGCAGGAUAGAUCCAAGGUGCUGAAGUGCACUUCAGCUGAAAAAAAAUGUGGGGGGGUGGGAAGGGUGCUGGCUUCAUUAUUUUACAAAGGAAAGGUUAGUUAAGGCUGGACUUGGUGUCUUUUGUUUUUGUUUUAUUUUGUUCAUUUCAUUCAUGUUCUGCUUUUGCUUGAGAAAGCCCAGCUUGACCUCUCCUGCCAUGUAAUGCCACUGCCUUUCCAGGGGUUUGAUUGCCACAGUGUCUCCUGCAUGUGCAAAGCCCAGGUCCUGGAUCUCAGGGUUGUUUAUGGACCGGGACUUUCUCAAAAGGGAAGUAUUUCAGGAUCUGGGUGGGUUUUCUCAGGCAGAAUAAUGGAGGAUAGAUCACUUUCAGGUAUGAAAUAUCCCUCCAUACCCCAGAUCUGGGUCCAUCAACACAAAGGAAAUAAUUUUCCCUAGGACAAGGAUGGAGGCAGGGACGCUGGGCCACUGGACAUGCCAGGGCUGUAUCUGUUGACCUGAGACUGGUUGUUGAGAUAUAAGGACGUCUUCUCCUGGGACUCUUGCGCUGCCUCCACAGGGUCAUUGUGAGGAAAUGGUACCUGCUAUUAAAGAGAACCCCCAGAGAAACCUACCAGUCCUUGGAUGCCAUCAAAGGCUUCUGGAACUUGUAUCCUGUCACAAGAUUGUUAGCAACAAAUCAGACCCUGUUGGAACACAAUGAGGAAGUAGGUAUGUUGGCACCCUUGGCAUGUAAGAAGGGCAUCUAUUUACAGUGAGAAGUGGCUGGUCAUUUUCAUGGCUGGAUCAUUGGCACUGAAAUCACUGAGUUUGAAACUAAAAUUUGAGGAUUUUGUGUAAUAUUAAUGUUGAUUUCAGAAUACUAUUUAUUGAUCACAAGUUGGAUAAAGCCAGAAAAGAGUUGUCAUUCGAAUUGACCAAAAUCUUGACCAAAUCAUUAUGACUUCUUGAUACAUUUAAGACAUCACACAUAAAAUAAUCUCCAGAAAUCUUCUAUCUGGUACCACUUAUCUCCAGAGCCCAUUCUUUGUCUAACUUGUGCUCCCCAAGAUAGUGCAAGUUAGUGAAGGCAGUAGCAUCUUGGCCUUCCACUUGUCCCGCGGGAUGCAAUAGAAUCUGGGGAACAUGCAGAACUCUGAGGGCAUGCCGCCCAUUGGUGAUCAGACUGAAUCUGUGGAGACUUGGGAAGAUUCACACCUGGAGAACACACUUAAUUGCAUGCCACAGAUUUAUUCAAGGGCUCCAGAACCAGACCAUGUUCAACUGGAGGAAAUGUGCUGAUCCUAGUGGGUUUCUAGAAGAGCUAGAAUGUCAAUGUAGCUAUGACUGAGCUGAAUGUCUUUUUUUUUUGGGGGGGGGGUGUUUGAGAUUGUGUCUACCCUUGUUGCUAUCUGAACCUUGAGACAUGGGAAGGACUGACCUAGGACCCAUUCCAUAAUCCGCCCCCCCCCCGCAAUAAAUUAUUAUUUAACUUUCUGCCACUUCUAGUUAAGCACAAGACUUCAUCUCUAUCUCCUUAAAUGGUUAUUUUUUAAAUGAAAAUAAUUUAAUGUGAACAGUCUCUCAGGAAUAUUACAGUCUCAUUUCAGAAAACUUAUUUAGCCAAGCAUAAAGAUAACGAAAACUCUUUCUCUACAAAUGAGAGCUCCUAUUCUUUUCAAAAUAACUUUAUUUACUGUCACCAAAAGUAAUUAUUCAUUCCAGUGACCCACAUGUCUUCUCAUGAGAAGUUUCCAUAUCUAUACAGGGAGUAUUCAAUGAAAUCCAUAAAGAAACUUAGCAAUCCACAGACUGAUCCCUCACUGAAGACAGGAAAGAUGUUGUCUGCAGGCUUUCUAUAGUUAUCUGUAACCACGCCAGGUGCUCACUUGCAGUUUCAGUUAUGAAUGCCCAAGUCAGGGGCAUUUCUUCUCUUGCCUUAGAUGACAGACCCUAUUGUUGGAGCCAUGAGAUUCUAUUCUGCACAACAGGGAAAAGGAAUAUGGAUUUGAAAUUUGAAAGUAAGAAGACUAUUUGCCAUAAUUGGAUUUAACUUAGCCUCUCAAUGUACUGUCUUUCUCAUUCUGCUGAGAAUUUGCAGGUUCAUAUAGAUACACCCAUCUAGGCAGGCAUCCCUCCAUGCUCUGUGACAUGAUUAAUUUUCUGCCCAAUAACUAGACCAAAACAACCUAGUCCUAGGAUAUGGGUACUAAGAAGUCUGUAAAGAAACAAAAGAGAUGAGGAACCCCUGCUAGAUGAUGAAGUAGAUGUCAAGUAAUCUGCCUUCACAGAUCAGUUGUACCAGCUGCACCUCAGGAUCCAACCCCUUGAUCUUGAUAAGAUGUGUUUUGUCACAAAAAAAAAAAACAAUGAAAACUGUCUGACUUAAUUUAACAGUAAUUGAUACCUAGAUACUGCAUGCUUCUUAAAUGGAUUUUGCUGAUGAAAAGAAUGAAUAAACACUUAAGGAUUUUUAGAUAUUGAUAAUCAGUUAAUAUUUUUUGAGCAUUCAGUAUAAUUUAAAUGCUACAACAUAGGGAAUAUUAUCACUAUAUCCUUAUAAUAGAUGAGAAACAAAAGGAAUAGAAAGAAACAUAGCUAACUAGUUAGGACAAAUUUUUUAAAAAUUAAAAAAAGAAAGAAACAUGGCUAGAUGUGUUACAAUGAUUUCUAAGAUGAAUGUAACAAAUGGAAAGUGAUCAAUGAUAUUUGCACAACCAUCUUUUAUCCAUUUGUCUUUUUGCUCUUUCUUCUCUCAGAUUAUUCAUACAAAACAAUUGUGAACCUGGACAGGCUGGGCAAUAAUCUUUAGGUCUAAAAGGGAAAGCUGCUAUUAAUUAAAAGAUCAUAAACACCACAUUCCCUCUGUAAGGAUGUGUCUAUGGACCUGUGCAUGAGAGGAAGAAGUAGCUAUAAAGAGCUCUGUGCUCUUUUAAUCAUGUACUCAUAUUUUCCAGUUAUAAUAUGCAUGGGAUUCAAUACAUUAACUAAUUAACUCUCAGCAUCUUGUGAACUAGUGGUUUAAUGUAGUUUCCUUUGAAGUUCAAAAAAAAAAAUAAUAAUUGAGCUCCAAAGGGUUUCACUUAAAUCCUUGUGUCUCUACUUAUCCAAAAUGACUGUGCUAAUCAGGCAUCGAAUAAAUCUCGGGCCAAGGACUUGGGUCUUUACCUUGUAUGUUCCUGUGGGAUCUGGCAUGGUGAUGGAAACCCACUGAGAUGGGAGUAACUCUGUCUGUAAUACUGAAAAUAAAGUAAUUUAUUUAAGGCUACAACAUUCCCCAAUGGUUAUACAUUUCAACUUAAUAUCUUGUCAUACAUUCCAACUUGAUAUCUUCUAACCACAUAUUUAAGACCAUCUGAUGGAGUGGGACAUGGGAAAUUGGUCUAAACAGCUACAAAAAUGUGGGCCAGGGAACAGAUGACAGUCCAUGAAUUGUUAUCAGCCUUUGAAGCUGUAAGUAGAAAAGUUGAGAAUGAGCACAUAAAAGCUUUUAUAGAAAUUUGACAAAGUAAUUUUUAAAAAAUGUUCAUCAAAUAUAAUUAAAAGAAAUAGGAGGCUUAUACUUUGAGCUUUCUUUUCCAAUUCACUUUUUGUAACAAGUCAUCUUCUAGUAGUUUUAUUUUUCUCCUAUGUCUGGAUUAUAUUUCCUACAUCUUUGCACACCUGGUAAUUUUGUAUCGAAUUCUGGAGAUUGUGAAUUUUCAUUGUUGGAUGCAGGAUUUUGCUAUAUUCCUCUACAUAGUAGUGGGCUUUAUUCUGGCAUGGAGUAGCAUCCCUAAGGAUCCAUUGGAUCCCUUGAGGCUGCCUCCACGCUGAGGUGAUAGUAAGGAUUACCUUCUUUAAUCCCCACAUUUUUGUUCUGCUACAACAAAAAUAUCACAGAUUGGGUAAUGGAUAAUAAUAGGAAUUAGUUUCUUAUGGUUCUGGAGAGGACUUUCUUGCAGAAUUCUCACAUGACAGAGGGACUAAAGGGAAAAUAUGACAAACUCUAUGUCCUCACAAAAUAGAAGAGAUAGAAGUAAAAAAUGGCCUAGGUGAUUUCCUACAGGCCAUUUACAAAGCCACUGAUCUCAUUUAUGAGGGCCCCACCCUCGUCCUCAUGACUGAAUUACCUCCUAAAGGCUCCAUUCAUUCAUACCAUCUCACUGGGGAAUAAGUCACAACAUUCAAAUUUUGAAGAGAUAUAUAAAUUCAAACCACAGCCCCAUCUCUGAAGGGUUCACACUUCUGAAAGACAAUUUUGUGCAAUAUCUGAAAACUAUUAUUUCAUAUAUUUUCCUGGUCUCAUAAGUAUUUAAGGUAGGAAAAUGAAUUAGUCCCUUUUACUUCGUUAUGGCUAGAAGCAGACAUUCUAGAACUUUGUCUUGAAGUUCUUUCUUUUGCUAAAACUGACAUAAUUUUAUUGAAUUUCAUGCAAGUAUUAAUCCACUAUGCAAGUGGAGCUAAAAAAAAAAAAGCAAAACAACAACAAUAAACCCUAACAACUGAAUUUUAAAAGUGAGAAAAAUACUUGAAUAGAAAUUUAUCCAAAGAAGAUAUGCAAAUGGCUAAUGAACACAAGAGAAGAUGUGUUCACUAAGAAUUAGAGGUAAUUCAGUUAGAGUUAGGGAUAUGCAAGUCAAAACCACACUGAGAUAUUACCUCACAACUUUUAGCAAGGACAUGGAGAAAGUGGAACCCUUGUGUAUGAUUGGUGGGGAUGUAAAUAGGUGUCACCACUGCAGAAAACAGCAUGAUCAUUCUUCAAGAAAUGAGAGAUAGACUUAUUAUAUGAUCCAACAAUCCUACUACUGGCUAUAUACCUAAAAGAACUGAAGUCAGGGUCUUACACAGAUAUUUGUAUACACAUAUUCAUAGAAGUAUUCUCCAUAAGCCAAGUUGUGAAAACAAACCAAGUGUCUAUUGAUGGAUGAAAAAUGAGCAAUAUGUGAAUGGAAGUUUAAUCAAAUAUAUAUAUAUAUAUAUAUAUAUAUAUAUAUAUAUAUAUAUAUAUAUAUAUUUACUACAAUAUAGAACAACUUUGAGGAAAUUAUGUUAAGUGAAAUAAGCCAGUUACAAAAGGUCAAACACUGUAUGAUUCCAUUUAAGUCAAGUAUCUGGAAUAGCUAAAUUCAUAGAAAACAGAAUGGUGGUAUCAGGAACUGUAGGGAAAAAGGAAUGAGGGGUUAGUAUUUUAUGGAUGCAGACAUUCAGCUUGGGCAGAUUUUAAAAAAAAUAGUUCUGGAUAUAGACAAUUAGUGAUGAUUGCACAACAGUAUAAAUAUUCUUACUGCCACUGAACUAAAUCCCACUGAAUUUGUUAAAAGGGUCAAUUUUACAUUGUGUGUAUUUUACCACAAAAAAAUAUUUAAUACAAAACAUCAAGAUACAGGGCUCCAUGUGUAAUCCAAUGGUGGAGCUCAUGCUUAUCAAGGCCCUGGGUUUAAGUCCCAGUGCGCGCACACGUGCAUGCACACACACACACAGAAAAAAAAAAAAACACAAAACAAAAAAUCCCUCCAAACCAAAAGACUCACAAAAACACCUGGAUAUUCAUCACAGGCAGUUCGAGAAUCACUGAUCUUCAGAGGAUGAAGAUAGGAAAAGCUCUAAGGGAGGGACAGUUUGGUAUGCUUUCUACCCAGGAUUGAAGAUGACAAGCAACUGGCUUCCAGGCUACCCAGGUAUACCCAGGUACCUUAGACAUAAGUCAGGAAAGUCUCUUGUCAAACUAUAAAACAUGCCAUAGUUCCUAUUUUUGUAUUCUAUUGUUCUAUUCAAUUAGCACUAAAAUCCCUAAUAGUGGUCAGUGAACUGAGCUUCCUGCAGAGUGAGCAGAGUAGACUGUGGGGUGUGGGGAGUUGCACUGCGCCUUCUGUAGUGAGUGCAAGGGAGAGCCCAGGAAGGUGGGGAGGUGUGGGCUGCUCUGAAGAGGAAAGAAAUAAACUAAGUCCUUUAGUGUGAAGGAAGAAAAGGGACAAUAUCUUUCACAUUUAGCAUGAAAAAUGAUGAAAAAGAUAAUGCUAUCGAGUAUUAAGUACAACAUGAUCCUAUUUCUAUAUAUUAAGAAAAUGCAUACAUACUUCUAUGUAUAUGUUUAUUUUUUAAAAAAUCUCCCAGGAGGAUAUCAAUAAAAAUGUGAACAUUUGCUACAUCUGGGUGGUCAGAUUCAUGGGUGGUUUUGCUUUCUCUCUGAACAUUUCUAUGUUCUCUGCUGCUUUCACAAUGGGUGGGUAAAAAUCUUUUAUAAUAACAGGGCAAGAAAGUAAUUUUUAUCUAAAAUUAGAAAAAAAGGAGGGAGAAGAGACAUUAUGUAGCUCAGACUGAGGUACAUUUGAUUUUGAUUUUGAAGGUUUACGCAUAAAUUCAUGUAGAUUUCAUUAUUCCAUAUUCUCUUUAUAUUUUCAACACUCAAAAUCUACCCAGCAGUUUACACAUUAGAAGGUAACAACUUUUACCAUUUCAUGUCCUGGAAAUGCAUUUCAUUCACACAGGUCAGAUAAGAUUAGGAAAGGCAUUAGAGUAAUUAAGGUCACUGGACUUUGUCAUUUAACAAAUCCUUUAAUCCAACCCUAAUACCAUUCAUUAAGGCCACAAACAAAAGGGUUAAUUGCUAAAGUAUAACUCUUCUAUCCACCCAGAUACAAAUGUUAACAUGUUAAAUGCUAUUAAUGCACUGUGGCAUUGCUUUGAAUCUUUAGAAGGGUGCAGAUGUAUUCAGUACUGGAAGAAUUACAGAUUUAUUAGUUCUGAAGAGGUUAUCCCUGGGGUAACUCAUUAUCAUUGGUACAAGCACAGAAUGUUCUGUGACAGGAGAAUGUCUACCAUGAAACAAUCCAAUUAAUCAAGACAGGGCAUGCAUGUGGUGACUGUGCAAGAUGAGCAGAUGCUGUCAAUUCUGGAAUUACCACCAUGCAGCCCUGUGCCUAGCCAAUACCCCUAAGGAACAGGUUGGCCGCCCAUGCGGGAUCCUAAUCUCUUGCCACACAGCUCUGUGCUCAUUUGCCUCACUUCAGCCCUGACCCAGCUGGAAAGGACAAUCCUGUCCUCUCAUGAUUCUUCUGCAUCAAACUUUGCACUUCUUUAUGAAAGAGUCAAACAAACUAAUUGAAUCCCAGCCUUGUUUUAAUCCACCCUGCCCUUACCUAAUUCUGACAAAGGUCCUGAGGAGGAUUGAAAGUUCCUAAAGGCAACCUUGAAAGACCAGCCCUCAAAGGUGUUAUCACAAUCUCUGGAAUCCUCUGCAGCCAUUAAAUAAAUUAUGUCAUUGAAGUUUUUCUAAAACAAGGGGAAUGUGAUCGCUUCAUUCUCUCAUUGUGAAAGAAGCAGCUUACAAUGAAAUCCUAGGACUAGAUGGGAAAGUUCCAGUUUUGUGAACUAAAAAGAUGGAGAGUCUCCAUUUAUUGUUAAAGAUGAGGAGGAUUAAAAGCCCUAAUGUUAACAUUUAAUGGAGAAAGGAAAAGUUUGCUUUUUUUUGUUUUUGUUUUCUUUUAUGUAAUUUCCAUAUGCUCUCCCAAAUCUUUCCAAAUUUUCUACAGUAGAAAUAGAUUUCUCCUAAAAACUAAGACUCACAGUAAAUGUUAUUUUUAGGUUUUCUAUCAAAAUUGAUGAUACAGUAGCUUCUAUCUCCUGAUUCCAAUUCAGUGACAACAGAUAUUUCCCAAUAAAUCUUCUGCAUCUUGAAAUUCGACUUAACACCAUUCAUUUUCUCAAACUAGAACCUUACUUUAUCCAUCCAAAGAAAACUCUUUAUCAAAAGAAACAAUUUCAGAAACAAAGACAGAAUCAGAAAAUUCUUACCCAAAAGGGAGAAAAGACAGUGUCUAAUCAGCUCUGCUUUUUCUCAAAGCUCUACAGGAAGAUUUAAUAAGAGACUGCCUUGGGCCAAGGGGUCACUUCCUUUGGGACAGCUUUCCCUCUCUUUGCCCUGACACCAGGAAGGAAAAAAAUAACAAUUGGCAUUCAUACUGUGUUCAGAGCUUUAAAAGCACUUUCACACAUAAUAAGAAGGAUGCAAAGAGAAGCUGUGCAGAGCAGUCUGAUGCCCUGCUGACAAAUGCAUCCCCUUUGCCACAUCUCAAGUGGCAGCAAAGGAAGCCACAGAGGCACAGGGUAAGAGAACUAAUCAUGUCUUGGAGCUCGGUAUGCCAUGCACUGUCCUAAACACUUGGCAUGUUGUGGCAUGCUAUCCUUAUGAAAACACUGAAUGGCAAGUGUCAUUGUCUGUAUCAGGGGUCAGCAAAUUAUAGCCCAUGGGCCAGAUCUAGCCUGUGGCUUUUUUCAUGAAUAGCUUUAUUGGCACACAGCCGCACAUGUUUGAUUAUAUAUUGCCUAUGGCUGCUUUUGUGCUACAAAACUGAAUUGUUGCAACAGAGACCUUUUUCCCCUCUUGCAAAACUGAAAAUCUUUGCCUUUUGUCCUUUUGCAGAAAACACUUGCUAGCCCAAAUCAAACUUACAGGGUAGUAUUUUAACUUUCACCAAAGUAUAGUGUGUAACUGGAGGAGCAUAUUGCAAACAGAAAGAUGGAACUGGAGUAACUGUGCUGUUUUUUUUAAAGGGACACUUACAAGACAUGAUAGCUUUUAGAAUACUUAAGCUAUGUAAAGAACACUGCACUGCAGCAAAAAUUAUGAAACAAACCCUUGAAAUAAACACAACUACUGAAAUUUUACCUGAAAGAUGGGCAUUAGAUUCCAAUGUAUGGCUUUCAUAUUAAAACAGAUCCUAAAAGAUUUGAUGUAUUCCUUUAGCAUAAUUAGGUUUUGACAGCUGUAUGAACUCUCUUGCUCCUUCCCAGGAUAUGCAGAAAGGGAUGGGGGGAAAGUUUGCCUUUCAGAAAAGUCUGAUCACUCCUCCUUUUUCAGGGUUUUUUUUCUUUUAAUGUCAGUUUCUCUUUCAAGCCUUUUUGCUUAAUUCCAUAGCUGAAAUGAGACAUUUUGUAUAGGCUUUUAUGAGUAUCUGAUGGAAGAAAUUUCCUUGAAAGAAAUUGCCAAUGCUCAUCGGCAAGCAUCCAGGGUUGGACAGGUUUCACUAGCACUCACUAAAUCCCCCACAUGCCCUGGAAACAUCAAGACACAAGGCUUUAGGAGUUGAGGCUGGAGAAGUGGAGUAGUUGGCUCAAUCCACACCCCAGGCAGCAAAUGUAGAAAAAGUAGCAUGUCCUCAUGACCUCGGUCUUUCCAAGUCAGAAUCAGGGUGUAGUGUCAGUCUGAAGACUAGUUGAGGGAGCAUAAAUGGAAGACCACUACCUUAUGUUUAUUCUCGAGACAAGUUAGAAUUCAGGUUUUCAAAAGUAAAACUCCCUGCCUCUUCAUCACUCAGUGAUGCUGGAUGGCCAUCCUCCAGGCAAAGGUAGGAAGUAGAAACAAACUCCUUCACCCCCCAAAUGCAAUUUUGGAGCAUGAAGAACUCUCCAACAUUUGGGCAAUGAACAUGUUGUCCUUACUUGCUCAUUUUUAUCCACUAUUUUCCCUCCAGGAAUUAAAAAAAAGAUAUAAUUGUAAGCUAUCUGAAAAAGUUGGCAGAAAUGUUUAUUGUUUAGUCGGGAUGACAGUGAAAAUACUGGCCAGAGUGUACACUGAAGAUUUCUUUUUCCUACACAUUCUAUUUGUCCAUUAGAAAGAAGAAUUGUGUUAGCUUUGAUAUCCUCUAAAGGCCCCCAAAGGACUGCCUUCAACCUCAGCUCAUUGAGCCCUGGUCCAGCUCUGGGUUCUAGCAGGACACACUCUAAUCUGUCAGGUCACAAUGUACAUUUCAGGGUCGGGAUAACCCUCAGCAUGGGGAAGCUUCUGCCAAGUCAGCCUUGAUACCUCCUGGCAGGAUGUUCCUCCUUCUACAAAAAACAGUAGGCUAUUAAUUCCAACUUUUCUCAUUCCCUUUGUACCUCUGCACAGUACACUGGGUGGCUUGUGGCUUCAAAGGGGAAUGUUCCAUAAUGUUCCAGCAGCCUACUACAUUCUCACCAAGUCCCUGUGGCUGCUCUCAAUUUGUUCUCCCUGCCUACAUUCCAUAUGUCACAUGGUAAACUCAUUAUCAAGGUGCCAGUGAACCACUACCACCUGUGACUUCUGUUGUGACUCUCACAACCAGAGUGUUUUAAUUUCUCCCCUCCUGGUGGCCUACAAUUUUCACAUAGGACUCAUGACAUCACAUGGAGCCACCUGAUUAUCAUCUGUACAUUCAUCGCUGUACUUACUUUGCAGUCACAGUGCUCAUUUCAGCACUUGUCGAAAAGGAAGAUUCAGGAGGUCUUUACGAUUAACUGAAACAUGGAAUUAUGGGUUCCUUUAGGAAAAUAAGUAUUAAUUAAAAUUAUUUAAAUUAUGUUAUGUUUUACAUAUGAGGUAUCCCCUAAAAUUUUCCUGUUUGAAACAAUGCAAGAAGGCUCAUGGGUGCAAUUAUUAUAUGAUGAGAGUUGUAAUCCAAUCAGUGGGUUAAUCCCCUAAUAGGGAUUAACUGGGUGGUAACUAUAGGCAGGUAAGGUUUGGUUGGAGGAGGUUGGUCACUGGAGAUGUGCCUUUGGGGAUUAUAUUUUGUCCCUGAGGAAGAGAAUUUCUCUCUCUCUCUCUCUUUCCUUCCUGAUGCAUUGUCUGAGUUGCUUUCCUCCACCACACCCUUCCACCAUGAUAUUCUGCUUGGUGAAGCUUCUGCCAAGUCAGCCUUGAUUCUUCCUGGCAGGAUAUUCUUCCUUCUACAAAAACCAGUAGGCUAUUAAUACCAACUUUUCUCAUUCCCAUUGGCCUUGAUCAAUAAAUAGAGUUGGCUGGCCUUGAUCAAUAAAUACAGUUGGCUGUCUAUGGACUAAGAACUCUGAAACCAAGAGCCCCAAAUAAAUUAUUUCUAAAUAAAUAAAUAAAUAAAUCUGACUAAAACAAAUUACAUUCAGUAGAACUAAAUAUUUUUUUCCAAAUUUUUUUAGUUGUAGAUGGACACAAUACCUUUAUUUUAUUUAUUUAUUUUUAUGUGGUGCUGAGGAUCGAACCCAGUGCCUCAUACAUGUGAGGCAAUUGCUCUGCCACCAAGCUACAAUCCUAGCUCAGUAAAAUUAAAUAUUAAUUUAAAUAUCUAAAGAAUCAGAAAACAUCUCAUGUAUCCACAUUUAUUACAAGAAAGAAAAAAACUUAAGCACAAAAAGAAAAUAACGACAGGUGAGUGAGAUAAGGCUUUGCUAAAGAUGUGUGUAGCAGUUCACAUCUCAUUUUAUAGGUGGAGUGGAUGGGACACAGAGCCCUUCACAAGUCACAGCUGGCAUAAAAAAAAAAAAAACAUAGAUAGGGGGUUAUCAACAAUAGGGUGAAUAUCAAAUUUUUCGUCCAGAGAGACCAAGAGUGGGAAGACAGCAGGAGCCAAAGGGCAGAACUAAAGGGCAGUUCAGAGACACCAAGUCCAAGGAGAUGGAUUUGUGCUUCUCCAGCGUCAUGCCUAGUUCAAGAUUAAAGCUGUUUGAUUUCUAUAGCAGGUGGAUACAAAAAAGCUGAAUUCACAGAAGUUUCUAUCAAAGACUUUUUUUCCUAAAGGUUUAGCUUCCCAUACACAACACAAAUAUUUCAUUGAUACAAUAUAACACAGACAACACAUACUUUAUAAAGAAUUUCUUGUACAACCUAUAUAAAAUAAUUCAGCAUCAUCUUCUAAAGUUAUGCCUAUUUUUACUCUAUGACCUAGAAAUUCCACUAUUAGAGAAAAAAUUCUCACACGGCUAUAACAAAAGUCUUAUACAAGAAAGUUCCCAGCUAUUUUGUUUGCAAAAGAGAAAAACAUAGAACUUUUCUACUAACUGGAGAAUGAAAAGCCAAUUUCUGAUUAUUCAUAUAAUUAAUAUGUGGUAGUAAAAGUGAAUUAUAGUUAUAGACAACAGUUUGGGGAAAUCUGAGUAAGAAAAUUUAAAAAAGAAUAAGCAAAUCCAGAAGACAAUGCUUAGAAGGAUUAAUUUUUUUCUUAUUCUCCCAAAUCAGCACAGAUAAUCAGUACAUAUGUACACAUGUGAUAAAAUUAUUGAAUAAAAACCAAGAGAAUCAAACAGUGGGAAGUGCAGAAAGAUUCCUCUGGGGAGCACAGAUGUAGUUUGACAGUUGAGAUAGGACCACAGGGAUGCAUUUUUUGUUAUUUGUCUAAUACUGGUAUAUGCAUUUUUCUUUAUGGAUAACAAAUUACAUGCCAUUACAUUAACAUUUCAUUACUAGAGGUCAUUUCAUUUUGAAAGAGUUUUACUUCCAGAAGCCUUGCUAACCAUUGUGUCACUGUAGGAUGAAGAGAUGAAGAUUCACAUGGAGUCUAACUUCUUCUGAGUGAAACAGGUUUUCAAUUUUUCAUCUGUAAUUUAGAGAUGGGAAAACCAAGGCACAGAGGGGCCAGUCAUCUUGCUUUAAGUUACCAACAGACAAAUGCCCCUUUUUAUUCCUUCAUUGUCUAGUCAGUAGCAAUCACUUAUUCUGUUUUUUUACUUGAGGGGGAAAAAAGUCAGGAUAAACUUUUUACUACUUAAACCAUAUUUCAAAUGGGCUCAGAUUUAGACUUUUGUAAUAAGUAAUUUUUCUCCUUGGGAAGAAUCUCUUAUCAUUUCCAUAAGGAACCAAGCAGAACAAAAGACAGUGUCUAUCGAGGUUCUGAAAAUAUUUGAGAGACUGUUUUCAACCAGAAUAUCUUUUAUUCUCCCCAAGUGACAUACAGAAAACCAAAGCUCCAAUGAUAUCCUAUGGAUGAAAACUUUAAGGACAAACAUGUCAAAGGAAAAUUUUAAGUUCCAACUUGUCAUAUUUUAACAAGUGAAAAAAGGCCUAAUUGACUGAUAUUGGCUUUGAAAUUAAUAAUUUUGCUAACCUGCACACACUUAUUUACCCUCUGCAUAUUUUCUUUAUUAAAAUACCUUUUUGGAUCUCUUUUCCAUUGUUUAACUGGGUUGUUUAUUUUUAUUUUUUUUACUACUGAGUUUGGUGUGUUCUUUAAAUAUUCUGCUUAGAAGUCUUUCAUCAGAUAUAUGAGUUGAACAUAUUUUCUCCCAAUCUGUGACCACUUUUUCAAUCUUUCAAAAAGAAAAAUGGCAUUUUUCAAAAUCAUGAGUUUUCAAUUUAAUGAAGUCCAUCUUACCAAUUUAUUCUUUUGUGGGUUAUGUUUUGGGGUCGUGACUAAAAAUUCUUUGUCUAAGUCAAAGUCACAAAGGUUUUCUGUUUUGUUUUCUUUUGGAUUUAUAGUUUGGGGUUUUCUAUUUAUGUGUUUGAUCCAUGUUGAUUUGAAGUGUGUAUGUGGUGUAAGCUGUGGAUUGAAGUUUACCUGGUUUUGCAUAUGAAUAUCCAAUUGUUGAAAAGACAAAUGCCAUUUGUUGAAAACUGAUUUUUUUACAUUAAAUUGUCAUUAUACUUUGUCAAAAAUCAUUUGUCCAUAUAUGUGUGGGUCUAUUUCUAGACUCUUCUGUUUCAUUGAUUUACUUGUCAGUCUUUAUACCAAUGCCACCAGGCCUUGAUUACUGUAGCUAAAGUGAUAUAAUAUCUUAAAAUCAGGUCAUAUUAGUCCCCCAGCUUUGUUCUUUCUAUCAGAAUGGUUUUAUCUAUUACAUCCUUCAAAUUUAGAUAGGACUUUUAGAAUCAGCUUGCUAAUUGCUGAGGUUUUGAUUGAUAUUGAAUUGAAUCUCUAGAUUGAUUGGGAAAGAACUAAUUUUUUUUUUACAAAAUUAAAUAUUGUCAUGACUAUGGUGUAUUUCUCCAUUUACUUAGUUGUUCUCUAGUUUCCCUCAGUGUGCAGAGAUUUCUCAUAUUUUGUCUGAUUUAUCUCUAAGUAUUUCAUAUUUUUGAUGCUUUUUAAAAUGAAAACAUUUUCCAAGUUCUGAUGCUUCCUUUCUAGUAGAUAAACUCACUUGUUUAUUCCAGUAGAUUGUGUGUAUGUGUAUGUAUUGUGUUAGAUUUCCUACAUUGUUGAUUAUGUCAUCUAUGAAUAAGGAAAGUUCUAUGUCUUCCUUUUCUACCUGGGUGCCUUUCAUAUUCAUUCACUCAUCCAUUCAUUGUUGGUCUUGUUACCCUGUCCAGUACUUCUAGCACAAUACUGAAUAGAAAUGGCAAGAGCAGAUAUACUUGAUAUUUUGUUUUUGUUUAAAUUCUUAAAGAUCAUUUUUAAAGUACCAUUUCCUUUCUUUACCUCCUCCUCAUAUUUGAAGCCCCUACACAUGCUGUGUUGAGUCUAUCAAGAGGCAGGGUAGUUACUACCCUUCGACCAGCCUUUAGUGUUAUGAAGGUUGAUGCCCCAGAGAUGUGGGACAUAUGCUCCCAUCUUCAAGAAGGAAACUUUGCUGUAACACAUUAGACAAGGCAAACCUACUCUCCACACAGGUUAUAGGAAAAUGUGAUCAAUAGUCUGGUCAAUAGUGAAUACCACUGAAGACUUUAAAUCAGGGCAAGAGGAAUAAUGACUAUGUUAUUUAUGGUCCUUUCCCACACAGUGCUGAUGGCAAGAGGCUGCUGUGCCUUUUUUUUCUGGUGAUAGCAGCUGUGUGCAUUUGAUUCAAAACAUCAGGAUCCAAGGAGAUGCCUUCCUGUCCCACUGUUAUGUAUAAAUGUCCUUCUCCUGUAAACUAUGUCUCUGGAGGGCAGAUGUAGGCUCCACAGAGUUGCCCAGGGGAGAUACAAUGGCAUUGGUUUAUUUCUUUUUCACUGUACACUUAUUUAAAAAUAAGUGUUCACUUCAAAAUCCAAUUUCUUACUCACUGUUUGCUUAUCCACCAAAACAACAUUUUUUUUACAUUGUUAUUAAGACAUUUGGACCAAAGAAAGUGAUAAAACUCAGAACAAAGUUUACAGUGAUAUAAGAAAUGAGGAAAUAUAAUCCCAGUUUAAAAACCAAAGUGUUCUUUUGAAAUAUUUUUGGGAGAUGGGGGGUAGGAUACCAAUAUUCUUCUUUAGUGCUUUCAUACUUUAAAGGGAUAGAUUGGGCUCUAUAAUUUAACUGCCAAAUCCAACAUUCAUAUCCAUCUGGACAUUUUUAAAAGGAUCCUUGAGCCAGUCAGAAUUGGCAGUUGGUUGUAUAAUCACACCUGCAUAUGGUGCAAGCUUUUUUUUUAAUGGGCAACAGUUAGAGCAUGAAAGUAUUGCAUGGUGUGCCUUCCUUGCGAAUCCACACUUUAACAUGUUUGCACGUGUAAGUAAUUAUAUUUUUGAGCUUUCUGUUAACAAGCCUUUGUUCUUUAUUUCCUGCAAAUCAAAUUAGUUGGGGCUACAGUUCAUUUUGAAAUUAUUUGGGAAAUGUUUUGGUGUUCUAAACUUCCCUUUGCUCCAAAGUUUUGCAAAGUUAAAGGAAAACCACAAACCUGCACAACCAGUGAAGGAUGUGGGGAUAUAUAUAUAUAUAUAUAUAUAUAUAUAUAUAUAAAUUUUUCUAAUAUAUAUUUAUAUUCAACAAAUUAAAUAUGAUAAACCCCUAAGCCAUAAGAGAAUGGAAAUCAAUCUUGUGUUUCUAAGUGCAUGUCAACCUGCAUGAGGCAUUUAGCUAUGAUUCACUGUAUAAGAAGAUAGUCUUUAAUGCUUAUAUAUCCAGAGAAAAUCUUGGCUUCAAGAAGAUUGCAUUUCUCUCAGUCCAAUUUAGGCUGCCAAGUCCCUUCUUAUUCUUCCCUCCUCAGUGCAAGUCUGACUGUACGCUACCCCAGCUCCAACCAGGAGUAGAGCAGCUACACAAAUCAAGCUGCUCUUUGAGAUCAUCUUUGAGACAAUUUUCAAGGAAGCAAAGGUGAUCAGAAGGGGAGUCUUUGUACUUGGGAAAUCCCAAGUGAGAAACCGUCUUCAACCCCCUACUCUACCUACUUUGCUUAUAUAUGGAGCUCAGCUUGGAAAAGGCAAUGAGAUAAUCUUUGAAAAGCCCUCCGGUAGACUUGUUGAAGGUGGCUACUCUACUUCUUUAAAAUAGUAGUAUUGUGUGAAGAUCCUAUAUAAUAUGGCCAUGAGGACCUAUAAAGAAGAUUCUACCUAAGCAGCCUUUGUGGAAUGCUUUAGUAACUUCCAACCUGACAUGAAAGGGGACAUUCAAAAACAAAUGAAAGGAAAAAAAAGUUGUAUUUAAAAUGUGGGUAGGGUGCCUGUAGGUAACUUCUAUUUCACAUGUGUAAGAAAUCUGUAACUAUUGAAUCUUGCUGGGCCUCUCCUCUUUCUCAGUUUCACAAUAGCCGUCUGCUCUUCCCUCGUUUAUUUCUCUUUAUCUGCUCCCUUGCUGCCAAUCAGAGGCUGACACCAAAAGCCAUUGUUACCCUUUGUAUUUAAAAAAUACUCCUGAAAUAUCAGAAACCUGUAAUGUAAAAGAAUUUUGCUAUCAAGAUGGGUCAUUUGAAAAUAAAAUCAUAUUUUCUAAAAUAUUUAUUUGUUCUUUUUAGGUAUACAUAACAAUAGAAUAUAUUUUGACAUAUGUAUGUGGAGUAUAACUUGGUGUUCUUGUAGUUGUACAUGAUGUGGAUUUACACUGGUUGUGUGUAUAUAUAUAUAGAUAUAUGAAUACAAUUAUAUCUUUCACUAAUAUUUUUCUUCUUUGGUGGAUAUGAAGUUGAUAUGUAAAACUCUAGGAUAAAUCUCAUGGUUGGUUUUGACCUCCAAAAUGAGUAGAAAACAAAAUUCUAUGUUUUUUCUUAGCAAGGCAAUAAAGGAAUCAUUCUUGCAUUUCCACAUGGGAAGGGCUUUUAGGACUUGGACAGGAUGAAUGCCAUACACAGCAGGUUAUAACCAUCACAAUAUAGCUCAAGUACUCAAGCCUGGAGGGACUCAUACUGAUGGAAAUGGUGGGUAUAGAUUCAGAAAAAGAGCUGUUCUUAGCUAGAAUCAUAAGUUGAGUGGAAUAGUAGUUUUCUUAUGACUAAAUUUUUGUUUCUGAUGAUAAGAAUCCAAAUCUUAAAUGAAAGAAAAGUGUUCAUACUAUGCCAAACAAAGUGCAAUUCAGCCACUUCAUGAGCAAUCAUUGAUUGACAGGGACACAAAUUUAUAUCUUAAAUUGAUGGAGCAAAUAAAAGUUCAGUAGUAUAUACCAUUUUAUAUACAUUAUAUAUUCAGUAGUUGAAUUAGAAACAGUUGAAUGUUUGCAAAAUGGUUAGAAAGGCUGUAGGCAGACUCUUCAUGGAAACUUUGAAUAACACAGCAGUGAUGCCUUUAAAGAAAGCUUUUAUCCCUAGUAGAAAAUCUUAAGGUGCCCAGGAAAUCAGGCAGCUUCUGCCCAAUGGAGGCUCUGGUUCUACUGCAGCUGACUCCAAUGGGCAGCCAGUGCCGCACCAGUGACACAAAGCAUGACUUCUCAAAAUUCUUGUACAUGUGAAUAACCUGGGUAUUUUGUAAAAUGCAGAAUUUGAUUCAGUUGGUCUGAGAGAGAUAGAAAGAGUCUGCAUUUCUGUAAAGUUCUCAGGUGAUGCUGAUGCCAAUGCUAACUACACAGGUGAGCAAUGAGAUUAAUGAGAUCAGUAGUUCUCAAACUUCUGUGUUCAUCAGAGUCAUCUAGAGAGUUUGUUUAAACAUGGGUUGCUAAGUUCCACCCCAUACAUUUGAUUCAGGAGUUGUGGGGUGAAUCCUGAGCUUUUAAUUUCUCACAAGUUCUUAGGUGAUACUGAAGCUGCUGUUCUGGAAACCACAGCACCACUGAUGCAAAGCAUGUUGCAAAGUGCUGGAAUGGAGUCAAGUGAGCCAAUUGCUAUUUCUACAACAGGUGGCAACCAUGUGGUGUUACUAAUGAAUUCAAAGAAACUUGGAUCCAACAAAUUGGGGGAGACUCAGAGGAGAAAGUGAAAUGCAAUUACUUACACCAAACCCAGUUACAUUUAUUCAUCUUCCUUCCAUCCAUAAAUUACUGCUGCAUUAGCCAAAGACACUUUGGGGACAUAUAGGUGGAUAACAGAACUAAGGAGAAGAAAGCAUUAAUCAUCUAUAUCCCAGUAAAUAGACAUGUGUUUACAUUCACGAUUCUUGAAAACCAGGUCAAAGUACCUUAAUGAUAGCUGAGUGGCAGAGGUGAACCAUCUAUGCUCAUGUAGUUCCCAUGGGAACUGAUACCCAGCUUACUGAUAAUUCAUUAGGCACCCCUCAGAUGGUGGGUAUUUGUAUCUUCACUACUCUGGGUAGGGGCUGAAUGCAUCAUCAGCCAACAGCUUUUAACUUGUCUUUUUCUUUUUAAAUCAUGAAACAGGAAAACAAAGUUUGUGUUAUAUUAGGCAAUAAUCAUCUUCAAAUGAUGUGUUCCAUUUUAAAUUACUAUAUCAGAUACGGUAGUACUCAAAAUCGUGAUUUGAGAUCAUUAUUUACACUUCAAUAGGAUACCUACUCUCUUCCCAUUUCUGCCUUUUCUUCAUUACAUUUACAGGGUACUGGACCCCCAAGAUGGAGAUCUAAUCAUCCACCUAUGAUUACUGCAGAAGCCAAAUAAACCUGAGCAUGCUGUCAUGAUUUGAGGCUCCAUGAGAAAAUGAAAUAGAUUAGUACCUGGAUUAACCAAUUUCAGUUCAAGUUCACCCCCAAUAACAGGCAAUGGAAGAACUCCAUAUGGGAAGAAAAUUUAAGCAGAGAUUUCUGAUUCUUUUCUUGUCUUUCAACUCAAAAUAAUUACAAUGUCUUUCCCUAAUUUAUUCUAUUGAUUCAAAGAAUUUUCUCUAACAUUAGCAGAGAGUUUAUUAAAACUAUUGAGUGUAUGGUAUACUCUUGGGCCUUGGGAAUGCAAAAAUGUUUAUGGGAGUAGCUGUUUUUACUUACAACACACUGACACCAAAUUAGAUGGUGUUUUUUCUUUUCUUUUUCUCUCACAGCAACUAAUUAUCUCAAACUGUGGACAUCAGCUGGGUGGUUUUUUCAAUUAUUCAAUUCAACACUGAUUAUUUGAAGUUAGUGCAGACCCCACAAGUUACAGACUCGGUUCCACAAGACUGCCCGUAUGCCUCAGAUGCCAAUCACAAGUCACAGGCCUCUGAUACUCUAAUUGAAUAACUACAAAUCAGUAGUUUCCAUGACCCCCUUUGCAGGUUCAAUAAUUUGCUAGAAAGGCUCACAGACCUCAGAAAUAUAAUUUAGUUAUACUUGCCAGUUUAUUUAAAAGAAUGUAGCACAGUGACAGCUAAAUAAAGUGAUGAAUUAGGCAAAGUAUGUGGAUGGGGUAAAGAUGGUGCCCUCUUGGUGCCUACCAUGGUCCAGCACAUUGAGAUGUUCUUUAGCCUGAAAGUUCCCCAAUCUCCAAAUUUAGAUGGGUUUAGGGGGAGGUCUUUCUUAUGUAGGCAUGAUUGAUUGAAUCAUUGGUGGCUGGUGAUUAACUCGCUCUUCAGCCACUCACCUUCCUGGAGGUUGGGAAUGGAACACCAAGUUACAGCCCAUUAAUCAUUACUUGGUCUUUCUGGUGACCAGCCCUCACUCUAAAACUAUCUAGAGGUCUACAAAAAGUCACUUCAGUAGAAAAAAAGAUAAUCCUAUCACCCUUAUCACUCAGGAAAUUCCAAGGGUUUUAGGGGUUCAUGUCCAGGAACUGAGACAAAGUCUAAAUAUCUUUCCAUAAUACCAUUGAUUGCAGGUCUAGCAGUUCCUGCAACCAAGUUUUAGAGGUAAGAUAUGGACAUACUAAUGCAAUUAAAAAAUAUAGUGAUGUGUUAUCUUUGAAUAGAAUAGCUCUACAUCAUUAUAGGCAUUCAGAAAAGAAGUAAUCAGCCACCAAGAGUUAGAAUAGAUUGGGUCAAGCCAACCUCAAGGUGGAUGUGGAGAUUAUUGCCCUCACUUUGUGCCAGGUUUUAUACAGAGUCAAAGAAAGCUUAUUUCUGAUCUGAGGCAGAGAGGAGAAAAGGAUGGACUAAAAUCAGGAGUUAAAUCAGAUGCCCAGAUUUCAACCUACCCAUUCCCAAUCUGUCUCACCUUGGUGGGAGGUGGACCCAAUGGGGUGGAGGACUUUAGAAACAUUAGUGGAGCAACAUUGGGUCUUAUCCUUCUAAUUAAAGAGUAGAUUAUCACCCGUUAGAGAAAUGCUGACCUCAAAGAGACAGUGUUAGAGAAAGCAGCGGGAGAGAGGUGAUGUGAGAGCAUUUCCACUGGCUACACCUCACAUGGAUGUGAGAGAGCUCCAAAAGGGCCUGUGUGGUCUUUAAGGGGACAUGAAGGCUCUGAGAGAGCAGUGUGAUGGCACAGACUCGGGGAGUGGCAGAUCCAAGGAUCACACCCAAUGUUCAGUGAGGUAAGAUGAUCUCAAGUUCAGAGAAAAAAUAAGUGUGUUCUAUGAUUCUAAGAGAAAAGACAUGGUUGGGUAUGUGGACAAGGACUUCAUCCAUGUGAAGGUCAAAGCUGAAGCUGUGCUAAUGAAUGAAAAGCCCCGAGUGCAGUGUCAAAUGAGCCAGUCAUGCAGGCAGGGAGUGCAGCUGUCAAAGACAGGAAGGUGACCACAGGUAACCUAAAUCUCAUCAUUUUGCUAUGGAAUACAGAGACUCACAGGCAACUUUGUGACUUGUAAAGAUUUCAUUCAAAGAGAGUUUUACUUAUGCCCAAAGCCUAUUGCCAAUUCACUAUUCACACAUCAGAUGCCGGGAGUUGUUAUCAACACCAUGUGGCAAGAAAACUUGGUUAAAAAAAAAAAAAAGUUUUGAAUUUUAUCAGUGUAUCAUCGGAUAGUGGAUUUGUAUUUUUAUUCUUUUUGUGUGUGUGUGGUGCUGGGGAGUUAAUGAAUUUAAAAAAAAAGGGGGGGGGAGAUGGCAGAGCAGUAUUAGAAAUAGGUGAAUAGAUACAUAGCAAUCAAAGAAGAAGAGCACUUUAUGAAAAAAUGAUUUUUCAAUAGUCUUAAAGGUCUGCUGAGGCCUUAAAGGAACCAAAAAAAAAAAAACAAAACAAACUAGAGUGUUCUAGAAAGAUACUUCUGCUCAUAUGACAAACUUUACAGUAAAGAAGAAAGAGGAUGCGUUUCAAAGGGUUUAGAGAGGGUUUUUUGAGUCAUCAUUAAUUUAAUAUUUUGGUGGUUCCUAUUAAGUUAGGAAACCCUGGUUCAUAUGUAUGAAUAAACAGGAAAUAAAGGAUUAUAAGAGGAAUGAUAAAGAAUGCAUGAAAAAUAGGGGAUGCUGAAGUCAGGCCUGCUCUGAAGGCAGAAAGCAGGGUUCAGGGAGGUGGGUAACAAAUGAAGGGGAUCUCCUUUCUUAAAACAGUUAAAGGGAAGGAGAGCUGGAUGUGAGUCUAGCUAAUGAACCAGGGGCAAGGAGGCUGGCAUUGUCUACAGCAUGGUUUCUUAACUUAGCACUGUUAACAUGCUGGGCUAGACAAUUCAUCAUUGAGGCCUAUCCUGUGCAGAGUGGUCAGCAGCAUGCUUGAUCUCUACCAUCUUAAUGGCAGUAGCAAGCCUCUAGUUGCAACAAGAAGCAUCUCCCUCUCUCUUCAGUGGUCUCUCUCAGGAGCGGUCACAGAGCCUGGUUAGAGCAAUGCACCCCUUCCUCAUAAAGACAGACAUGCCUCCUGCAAAGUUCUUGACACUAGUGCAUCAGCCAUGGUGGCUGAGAUUUAUAGUUGAUACAUCUCUGCUUUUCUAAAAUUAUCUAAUCUAUUUCUUAAGUUCAAAAGUUUUGUGGAAUGUUUACAGUAAAUUAUUUCAGCUUCUGACACUUAAAAGAGCACAUGAAAGGACUGGAGGCAGAUGCUUAAUGCCAAAAAAUGCAUUCUCAGAACCUCUUUGAGACCUCAAGGCCACCUGGCCCUGCAGUGGGAUGGGGAGUGUGGAUGCCAGGGUCAGACAGUCAUCUCUGGGAAAGUGUGGUUAUUCUUCAUGUUCUCAGAGUGUGCAGGUUGUAUGCUUAGUGACACAAGACACCAUGUGGCAAAGAGCUAUUGCUUAGACUCUAUCUUUGGUUCUAAGUCCCUCUCAGUCUCUAUUCCUAGCAGCCACAAAGUGAUUGGUAGCAAUGUCUACAGGACACUCAUUUCUUCACAUAUUAGGCAUCUCUAGGAGCAAAGCUACAACCUAUUUCCCCAACACAGUAAUACACAGAAUAGGAUUAAGAACCUUUCCUUCACCCUGGAUGAAGGUGUACACGCAGUGGUUUACCUAGACAUAUUACCAUACAGAGAUUAUCAAGUACAAGAUGGAGCCCAAGUACAGAGAGGUUGAGAAAGUUGAAACUUAUCUCUUCUGGUUAGUCUGAUCAAGGGACAUUUUUUUCUGUCUGCCUUUAUAGAGGAAAAUAUUUCCAAGAAAAGGAAGCAGAGUUCUGAGAACAAUGCCUCCCUCCUUCCACGAACCCCAUCCAACCUGCUUGUCAGGAGGAGGGCUUGCCUUUCCAGAAUCUUCAUUGCAUUAUUCCUUUCACAACUUGAAAUUCAUCUCCUCUCCUGACAUGAGGAAGGGUCUUCUAGAGGAAAUAACCAUGAUUUCACUCAUUUGUUCAUUCUUUUGAGCUAUAUUGAGGGAGUAUUUGGUACUGUCUUCAGCUCUGAGGAUAAGCAGUGACUGAGACCCAGAUGUCGCUGCCCUCCUGGAUUGGGAUGGGAAAGCAUGGUGCUGAUAAUCAUCAGUCUGCUGUGAGAAGAACUAUGUAUGGGUCCUUAGGCUUCUUUUAUUCGUUAAGUGAAGGGCAAGGACUUCCAGGGUUAAGCAUAUUGUACCUUUAACAUACACCACUUUGUGAAGCAGUCUACAGCACUGAAUCAAAACAUUGGUUGUAUGCUAUGGGCUACAUUGGGACAGCCCUCCCCCACCAAAAAAAAAAAUCACAUUGAAGUCCUAACCCCCACUACCUCAGAAUGUAAUGAAAUUUGGAAACUGGUUGUUAACAGAAGUAAUUAAAAUAAAAUAAGAUCAUUAGGGUGGACGUUAAUUGAAUAUGGCUGGUAUUAUAGUUUAUGUCUGGUAUAUCCCCCAAAGAUUCAUGUGGUAAAGGCUUGGUCCAUAGGUGGUGGUGCUAUUGAGAGAUGGUGGAAAUUUGGCGAUGUGGGCCCUAGGUGGAGAAGGUAGGUUACAGAAGCAUGCCCUAGAAGGGUAGGUAUCGUGUGCCAGACCCUUUCUGUCUCCCUCCUAUCUCUACCUCAUUUUUCAGAUUUCUGGCUGUCAUGAGGUGAGCACCUCUACUCCACUAUGGUUUCUCUGCUGUGAUUCUUUGCCUUAAUACAGAUCUGAAGCAACAAACCCAGGAGACUAUAGACUGAAAUGUUUGAAACAAUGAGCCAAAAUAAAUCUUUCCUCCUCAACAUUGUUUCUCUUGGGUAUUUUGUCAUGGUGAGAACAAAACUGAUUAACUGGUGUCUUUAUGGUAGAGGAAAUUUAGACAUAGAUUAAGUACAGAGAGUAGGCAAUGUGAAGACAAAGAGAAUAUGGUCAUUUGUAAGCCAAGGUUGAUUUUCAGAAGGAAGAACCUCUGCCUCACCUUGAUCUUGAACUUUCAGCCUCCAUAACUGUGAUAAAUAUAUUUCUGCUCUUCAAGCCCUCUAGUCUGGGAAGCUUUGUUAUGGCAGCCAUAGCAAACUAAUAGUCUAUAAUGAGGCUCACUCAGAAACUCUUAUUUUAUUUUUUAAAGAUAAAUAGGGCUGGUCCUAACUCCCCAAACUCAAUGAGAAACUGUAGACAUUAGAUUCCAGAUCAUAUAAAAAUUUCAAAAGUACUGUUUCAUCUGAUAGGACUGAUGUGAGAGACCUACUGGAAGCAUCAGUUUGCUCACCUUAUUGAUUUCCCUUCAUUGUUUUGUUCAUGUUAUUUCUGAUUAUACCUUAUGUCCCAUGCUGAGUGAAACACAGAAAUAAAGAGACAGCCUUCCCUGAGGUGGACUCUGUCACAAGUCCUUUGACAUGCAUACAUCACUCAAAAAAAUGCAUUGCUUGCUUAUAUAGGGAUAUUUUAAAACUUAAUGAUUAUUUACUACAAAUUCUAUGAACUCUUUUGAUGAAACAAACUAUAUUCUUCAAUAUAGCUCCAGCAACACCUGGCACUUUUUUUAAAUAUAAACUAGAUGCAUGUUAAUCCACCUGGCCAAUUAUUGAGAAGGCAACAGGUUCAAUCAGAGGCUCUGUGGGUGCCACUGCUCCUUCCUCCCAAUUUCUCUCUACUUUGCUUACUUCAAUUGUUUUGAUGGAUUCUUUGUCAGAACACCCCUGUAGUAUAAUUUUACAUUAAUGACCUCCUCAACUCCUGUGUGCUAUUUUCUGGUGGGAUAAUAUUGUUUUUGACUAAAACAUUAGUGAACCCCUAAUGGGAUUUACCAUUUCUACUGCCAUGUUCUUGGAGCAGACCCCUGAGGUUUAAGGUGGUGGAUUUACAGAGUUAAAAGGAGGUAGGGAGAGUUAUCUAGAAAUCACAGUUUUCUGGAAGCCUUAGGUUAUCUACAAGACACAAUAAAAAGAGCAGGGAGGGGAGGGGGAGGUAGUAGAAAGAUAGAAAGGAGAGGCUCAGUGGAAAUUUAGCCAAGAGCCCUUCUUAUUAUUGGCAUAAUUUGCAUUCAUAUCGAUGUCUUAAAGAGGGAAUGUGAUCACUACAGAUAAGAUUAAAUCAGAGCUUUCCAACAGGUGCACCACAAAGUACAGAUUCCCUUCAGCCCUUGAGGCAGUCUACCGACCUGGAAUAUCUGACUUGUUCCUCCAACAGGUGAAGCAUAUUCAGGGUUUCAAAUUCCCUCCAACUUAAGAGAUACAUAGAAAAACAUGAUGGAGGAAAAAAAAUAGGGACGGGAUUAAAUUACUUUCCAGAGCUUCUUUUAUUUUCAAUGCUUCCUCUCAAACUCUUCCAGUUGAAUCUCUACACAAUCUCCAGGCUAAUCUUGCAAAAUGCCUUCCCUCAGUUCAAAUCCUUACCAAACUGCUCAUUGUUCUUAGGAGAAAUUGCUUGAUAUGGUCAAAGCCCUCCCUGGUCUGCCUCUGUGAACGCUGCAGCAGGUUACCAUUCCCUGCCCAGUUCUCUGCUCUGACUCAGGUGACCUGAGUCCCCCAACAAGUCAUGCAGACACUCCAUUUAACAUGUGAUGCUGCUUCUCUCUGGACACACACACACACACACACACACACACACACACAUCUGGGUGACUCCUACUUGUAUGAUUAGGGGAAAGAUCAUAUCUAUUAUGUUCAUCAUUGUUUUCCUAAUGUGAGGUUUUGCAUAUAAUAGUAUUUUUUUGAUGACUGGGUAGAUAAAUGAAUGAGCUUCUUUCACACUGGAAAGUCAGUAGUUGCUCUAAGCCUUUUUUUGUUUUUUUUUUUUGUUAAUUCUACAUCUGUACUUGAAAUAAAAUCACUUUGUCCACACUGAAGCUCUUUAAAGCAGUUUUCUCCUCCCUGUUCACUUUGUAGACAGAUAUGACAACUAUAUCAGAGCUGUUACUAUAAAAGAAGCCUGACAAGUAAAUGGUGUGGAAGGAAUGACUGAUGUUUUCUUCAGUUUUCAAGAAAACUGGGACUGGAGAGAGAGGAAAAGAAUCAGAGGGAGUCAGCAAGAAAGAAAGGACUACAAAGAAAACCUCUCUGGACUCUAAUUUCAGCUACCAUUCUCUGUAAGUUGAAUUUAUGAUGAUUUUGGUCUUCUACGUUGACCUUAGCCACAAUUCUGGGAGCACAAGGAAAUAGCCUUUCAGCUGCCUGUUAUAAUCUGAACAGGGGCAGGUUUAAAUUCUUCAAAAUGUAAAAGCUUCAGGGGUUAUUGUAGCCAAAGGAAAGUUGUUAGGGAAAAGUGUUAGGAGAUUCUAUGAGAAAAAUUCAUUAAUUAAAUGACCCUUUCUGGCAACAACAUGAAGUAAGACCCCAGGUGUACUUCAGAAUUGUGCUCCAAACCUAGUCUCCUGUUGGUCAUGGAGGCCUGGAAUGUAUGCACAGGAGACUGGAAUCCAAUAAGACUGGAGUGGGGAAGGAGCAAAGAAGAGGAGGCAGAUGUGAGCAAUGCAAUGACAAUCAAGGUCAAGGCUCACUGAAAUGGGACUACGGGUUGGGGGAUGUAUAUUCGAUUUCCUUGGAAACAGAAUACAUGGAGUCUUAAUCAUGAGUCUUAGUAACCAAACAUGUCAUAAAAUGAAGUAAAGUGACUAUUUAAAGAUUCUAGAUAGGGAAGAGGGGAGGGAGGGAAAGGGAGGAGGCAGGGGAUUAGCAAGGAUUGUGGAAUGGGAUGGACAUCAUUAUCCAAAGUACAUAUAUGAAGAUAUGAAUUGGGUGUCAACCUACUUUAUAUCAAACAGAGAUAUGAAAAAUUUUGGUAUAUAUGUGUAAUAAGAAUUGUAAUGCAAAAAAGUAUAUGUAUAAAGACAUGAACUGGCGUGAACAUACUUUAUAAGAUAUGAAAAAUUGUGCUCUCUAGGUAUAAUAAGAAUUGUAUUGCAUUCCAGUGUCAUGUAUUUAAAAAAAA